GACGUACGCUGGCGGCGUGCCUAAUACAUGCAAGUCGAACGCAUUUUCUUUCACCGUAGCUUGCUACACCGAAAGAAAAUGAGUGGCGAACGGGUGAGUAACACGUGGGUAACCUGCCCAUCAGCGGGGGAUAACACUUGGAAACAGGUGCUAAUACCGCAUAAUUCCAUUUACCGCAUGGUAGAUGGAUGAAAGGCGCUUUUGCGUCACUGAUGGAUGGACCCGCGGUGCAUUAGCUAGUUGGUGGGGUAACGGCCUACCAAGGCUGCGAUGCAUAGCCGACCUGAGAGGGUGAUCGGCCACACUGGGACUGAGACACGGCCCAGACUCCUACGGGAGGCAGCAGUAGGGAAUCUUCGGCAAUGGACGCAAGUCUGACCGAGCAACGCCGCGUGAGUGAAGAAGGUUUUCGGAUCGUAAAACUCUGUUGUUAGAGAAGAACAAGGAUGAGAGUGGAAAGUUCAUCCCUUGACGGUAUCUAACCAGAAAGCCACGGCUAACUACGUG
Molecule: ribosomal RNA, 507 nt
Filed under: uncultured bacterium
Lineage: Bacteria
Description: partial 16S ribosomal RNA
Rfam family: Bacterial small subunit ribosomal RNA
Source: RNAcentral